Regulatory RNA element from Peptoniphilus duerdenii ATCC BAA-1640, 68 nucleotides. The record is from Rfam. Lineage: Bacteria; Bacillati; Bacillota; Tissierellia; Tissierellales; Peptoniphilaceae.
AAUUAACUGUAACCGCUCUAAGUAGGUUUUUAAGUAAUACACCUGCACAGGCGAGUCUUAAAUAUUUA